UGUAGAGUUUKRWACAUGGCUCAGGACGAACGCUGGCGGCGUGCCUAAUACAUGCAAGUCGAGCGGACAGAUGGGAGCUUGCUCCCUGAUGUUAGCGGCGGACGGGUGAGUAACACGUGGGUAACCUGCCUGUAAGACUGGGAUAACUCCGGGAAACCGGGGCUAAUACCGGAUGGUUGUUUGAACCGCAUGGUUCAGACAUAAAAGGUGGCUUCGGCUACCACUUACAGAUGGACCCGCGGCGCAUUAGCUAGUUGGUGAGGUAACGGCUCACCAAGGCRACGAUGCGUAGCCGACCUGAGAGGGUGAUCGGCCACACUGGGACUGAGACACGGCCCAGACUCCUACGGGAGGCAGCAGUAGGGAAUCUUCCGCAAUGGACGAAAGUCUGACGGAGCAACGCCGCGUGAGUGAUGAAGGUUUUCGGAUCGUAAAGCUCUGUUGUUAGGGAAGAACAAGUGCCGUUCAAAUAGGGCGGCACCUUGACGGUACCUAACCAGAAAGCCACGGCUAACUACGUGCCAGCAGCCGCGGUAAUACGUAGGUGGCAAGCGUUGUCCGGAAUUAUUGGGCGUAAAGGGCUCGCAGGCGGUUUCUUAAGUCUGAUGUGAAAGCCCCCGGCUCAACCGGGGAGGGUCAUUGGAAACUGGGGAACUUGAGUGCAGAAGAGGAGAGUGGAAUUCCACGUGUAGCGGUGAAAUGCGUAGAGAUGUGGAGGAACACCAGUGGCGAAGGCGACUCUCUGGUCUGUAACUGACGCUGAGGAGCGAAAGCGUGGGGAGCGAACAGGAUUAGAUACCCUGGUAGUCCACGCCGUAAACGAUGAGUGCUAAGUGUUAGGGGGUUUCCGCCCCUUAGUGCUGCAGCUAACGCAUUAAGCACUCCGGCCG
Molecule: ribosomal RNA, 890 nt
Filed under: Bacillus siamensis
Lineage: Bacteria; Bacillati; Bacillota; Bacilli; Caryophanales; Bacillaceae
Description: bacterial SSU rRNA
Source: RNAcentral